CCUGGGGAGUACGGUCGCAAGACUGAAACUCAAAGGAAUUGACGGGGACCCGCACAAGCAGUGGAGUAUGUGGUUUAAUUCGAAGCAACGCGAAGAACCUUACCAGGUCUUGACAUCCCUCUGAUCGCUGUAGAGAUAUGGCUUUCCUUCGGGACAGAGGAGACAGGUGGUGCAUGGUUGUCGUCAGCUCGUGUCGUGAGAUGUUGGGUUAAGUCCCGCAACGAGCGCAACCCUUAUGCUUAGUUGCCAGCA
This 252-nucleotide ribosomal RNA is filed under the name Paenibacillus ottowii. RNAcentral describes it as "partial 16S ribosomal RNA". It matches the Rfam family "Bacterial small subunit ribosomal RNA", at positions 872 to 1123 of the family's 1533-position model. The record is from RNAcentral. Lineage: Bacteria; Bacillati; Bacillota; Bacilli; Caryophanales; Paenibacillaceae.